RNAcentral lists this long non-coding RNA (743 nucleotides) under Bos taurus (domestic cattle). RNAcentral describes it as "long non-coding RNA NONBTAT020531". Lineage: Eukaryota; Metazoa; Chordata; Mammalia; Artiodactyla; Bovidae. The record is from RNAcentral.
ACAUUCAAACAACUUUAUUUCAGCCUUCAUUGGCAAAACAGCAACAUGAACAGAAAAAUAGCAUGCAGCUUCAAUAAUUAGGCAAAUAUUGAAUACAUCUCAAAAACCAGAUAUCUAAGAGUUAGUAAAUAGCUAAUUGAACAUUAAAUAAUAACAACCUAUUUUAAAACAGUUUUAAUGGUAAAAAAUAAAAAUAAAACCCCAAGAUCUCUCUCCUCUAUUUAGCAACUGAUACUCUGUUUCCCUAUUCCUUAUUAUCAGCUAACUAUUAUAUGGAUGUAUAUACAUAUGUACAUGUGGCAUUUUUCCUUUUUUUAAAGGCACUGAAUUUAAAGUUAUUAAUUCUAGGCAAAGCAAACUCUUUAGGAAUAAAAGGUUCUGUGAUACACACCUUACCAUACUGUUCAAAAGAAAAGAACACAUUACUGGAAGGCAAAAGAUGUAGACUUAAUCCAACUGUUAACAUGCAUUCAUUACGUUAUUAUACCAAAUGAAUUUGUACAAGUCAUACAGCUUCUCUGGUUAUGUGAUAAACUUGCAAACUAAGGGAAAUUUGCAAUUGCAUCCUUAAUGUCCACUCAGAAUUUAAAUAAUAUAAUAUCCUAUUGUUCUAUGAUCUGUCUCUAAGCAGACCGCUCUUUAUGACUAUCUAAAUUAAAGUUGUCAAGAUUAGCUGAUUACAUUUGCCAGAAUAAACACUAGCAAUAAAAGGGUAUCUUAAUUUUAAUAUCUAUGGGAGACUU